RNAcentral lists this ribosomal RNA (384 nucleotides) under uncultured bacterium. RNAcentral describes it as "bacterial SSU rRNA". It matches the Rfam family "Bacterial small subunit ribosomal RNA", at positions 30 to 413 of the family's 1533-position model. The record is from RNAcentral.
AUUGAACGCUGGCGGCAUGCCUUACACAUGCAAGUCGAACGGCAGCGCGGGGCAACCUGGCGGCGAGUGGCGAACGGGUGAGUAAUAUAUCGGAACAUACCCUAGAGUGGGGGAUAACGUAGCGAAAGUUACGCUAAUACCGCAUACGCACUAAGGUGGAAAGUGGGGGAGUCUUCGGACCUCAUGCUCAUGGAGUGGCCGAUAUCUGAUUAGCUAGUUGGUGAGGUAAAGGCUCACCAAGGCGACGAUCAGUAGCUGGUUUGAGAGAACGACCAGCCACACUGGAACUGAGACACGGUCCAGACUCCUACGGGAGGCAGCAGUGGGAAUUUUGGACCAAAUGGGGGGCAACCCUGAUCCAGCAAUGCCGCGUGAGUGAAGAAA